RNAcentral lists this ribosomal RNA (468 nucleotides) under uncultured bacterium. RNAcentral describes it as "partial 16S ribosomal RNA". It matches the Rfam family "Bacterial small subunit ribosomal RNA", at positions 28 to 507 of the family's 1533-position model. The record is from RNAcentral.
GACGAACGCUGGCGGCGUGCUUAACACAUGCAAGUCGAACGGAAAGUCCCGGCUUUGUGGGGGUGCUCGAGGUGCGAACGGGUGAGUAACACUUGAGUUACCUGCCCUUGACUGUGGGAUAACUUCAUGCAACUGGGUCUAAUACCGGAUAGGAGCUCUUGCUUCAUGGUGGGGGUGGGAAAGUUUCGGCGGUUGGUGAUGUACUCGCGGCUUAUCAGCUUGUUGCUGGGGUAGUGGCUGAGCAAGGCUUUGAGCGGUAGGCGGCCUGGGAGGGUGACAGGACCCAUUGGACUUGGACUGAGGCCCAGCCCCCUCCGGGAGGCAGCGGUGGGGAAUAUUGCACAAUGGGCGGAAGCAUGAUGUAGCAACGCAGCGUCGGGGAUGACGGGCUUCGGGUUGUAAACCGAUUUCCCCUGUGACGAAGCGUGAGUGACGGUAAUGGGUAAAGAAGCACCGGCUAACUACGUG